AUCCAUGUUGACCAAGCACAUACCUCACAGUCCUAGCCUAUGCAAUAGGGAUGGGCAGGUGAUCUGACUGCAGCCCCCAAGCCUCAGCUUCUGGCUUGUGCUGGGAAGUUGAAGAAGAAUCCCCUUUCUCUUCCAGAUGAGCUGGGAAGAUGUUGACCAUCUUGCAAAAUGCAGCAUGUCGAGAUGAACUGGCCAUCAGAUGCCCCUUACCAGUGGGGAUGUGUCUUGAGGAGUGUAUCGGUACAACAUUUGAAAAUGGAGGAAUGCAAGAGGAAAAAUUUGAAACUUAAAACUCCAUGAUAUGAAAAGGAGAGCAAAUGAGUACAAAGGAUUCUUUUUGGGGAUUAGAGGAAUGAUUAUAGAAACAGGUAACGAUGAUAGCAAAAACUGAUAAGAAAUAGAAGCCAUAAAAAUAGAGAUAAAAAGAAAUUACACAGGAACUAAAAGUAAGAGUAAAAAUUAAAAGGGAGAAAAGGAAAAAAGAAAAAGGAAAAAGAAAAAGAAAAGAAGAAGAAAAAGAGAUAAGAAGCUAGAAAAGAGAAAAGGAAAAAAUAAAGAAAAGAAGAAGAAAAAGAGAUAAGAAGCACAGAAGAAGGACAAAGGAAUAUUCCCUAAGCCCCAACAAGCUGAUGAAGAAAGGAGAAAAGGAAAGAAGACAAAAGCAAAAACAAAACAACAACAACAACAACAAAACUUACACAUAAAAAACAAAAACUAAAUUUCUCUUUGAUUUGAAAUGUGUGGUUUUUAUCUGUGAUCUACAAUCUCAGGGCAAUGUCUAAGUCAAGAUAUGUCCCUGCUCACUCUGGAAGAUAAAGAAGGCACUCAGACUCCAGGUCCAUUCUGGAUGCAGUGGGAUUAUGGCAGGAGUACAAAUGCCAUGGCUUUUAAAUCCAGAGCAAUUCAGGCUGAGCCUGGCUUCUGACCACACAGACAGAGCCUGGGGGUCUCUUACCAUCCUGACCAUAGUUGCUUGAGCACAACUGUCUCCCGUGGCUGUCUCUCACACAGUCACGGUGCAAACAUAGCCCUGGGAGCCCUAAAGUGAAGCUAUCCUGCAGCUGCCUUCAGUCCCAUGGUUGAACAAACAACCCUCCCCAGAAUGAUUUCUGACCAAG
Molecule: long non-coding RNA, 1118 nt
Filed under: Fukomys damarensis (Damara mole-rat)
Lineage: Eukaryota; Metazoa; Chordata; Mammalia; Rodentia; Bathyergidae
Description: lncRNA (ENSFDAG00000029794.1)
Source: RNAcentral